GGGGGUAUAGCUCAGUUGGCUAGAGCGCCUGGCUGGCAGCCAUGAGGUCAUGGGUUCGAGCCCCAUUACCUCCA
This 74-nucleotide transfer RNA is filed under the name Spirochaeta isovalerica. It matches the Rfam family "tRNA". From Rfam's summary of the family: Transfer RNA (tRNA) molecules are approximately 80 nucleotides in length. Their secondary structure includes four short double-helical elements and three loops (D, anti-codon, and T loops). Further hydrogen bonds mediate the characteristic L-shaped molecular structure. tRNAs have two regions of fundamental functional importance: the anti-codon, which is responsible for specific mRNA codon recognition, and the 3' end, to which the tRNAs corresponding amino acid is attached (by aminoacyl-tRNA synthetases). tRNAs cope with the degeneracy of the genetic code in two manners: having more than one tRNA (with a specific anti-codon) for a particular amino acid; and 'wobble' base-pairing, i.e. permitting non-standard base-pairing at the 3rd anti-codon position. The record is from Rfam by way of RNAcentral. RNAcentral also lists the same sequence under 2 other names. Lineage: Bacteria; Pseudomonadati; Spirochaetota; Spirochaetia; Spirochaetales; Spirochaetaceae.